Non-coding RNA from Procavia capensis (Cape rock hyrax), 70 nucleotides. NCBI's taxonomy places the organism in Eukaryota, Metazoa, Chordata, Mammalia, Hyracoidea, Procaviidae. The record is from Rfam.
AAAGGAAAUACAAGAUAGCAAAAAACUGGAAGGAAAAUUAAAAUAAUGCCAGCAGUCCAGCUUUGCUUAA